This 859-nucleotide long non-coding RNA is filed under the name Rosa chinensis. Its description in RNAcentral is "sRNA RchiOBHm_Chr1g0317161". Lineage: Eukaryota; Viridiplantae; Streptophyta; Magnoliopsida; Rosales; Rosaceae. The record is from RNAcentral.
AAUGGUGUGCUUGAGUUUGCGAGGGUGUUGAAGUCAAGGGAACAAGUGGUUGUUUAAAUUUGAAUUUAACUGGGCAAACCUUUGUUUUGGUUCUAAUAGUUCGAAGCUAUAUUCUUAUAAAUGUUGUGCUAUGUUCAGCAGGAUAGGUCGGAGUGCCAAUGCAUGGCCCCUGUAGAAGCGUUGCUGCUGUGAAGUUAUCAAAGGAUCAAUCACCAAAGAAGUGAGCUUUUAUGCCCCUCAGAAUCUAUCCACCUGAUGGUUGCAAUAGUUGGUUUCAAACAUUCUAUAUUGUCAGAAUGGAGAGGAUGGUGGUGAACUCUCAAUUGGUGAAAAUAUGAUAGCUGCUGCUGGGCUGCCACAGCUAUUUCAACAAAUCCAUUAUGGGUUGUUAAGACAAGACUGCAAACUCGGGUGGAUCAAAUUACACAACAGCUGAAAUUUGGAAUAUCAGAGUUUGAAAACAAUGAGAACGUAUCAUCAGUACCUCAAGAUCCAGACCACAUAUCCUCUACAUAUCAAGUUGACAAGGAGGGUGCAGAACAAUUGGACCUGGAAAAGCAGGAAGCCAUAGGUGUGCUUGAUGGCUGUCACAGAUUAUACCGUCCUGGUUCUUAUGUUAUGCCUUGAUUAAGUUUUGAGUAUAUUCAGAAGAAGAAGCAGCACCAGCUUAGAACUGUUAUACGUGGAAGUGCAAGCUUCUAUCUCAUGGCUUGUGUGCGUGAUUUGGCUAGUGCAAAUCCCAUAAUAUUUUUAAUUUAUGAUAUUUGUUGUAGAUGGUACUAGCUUUGAUGUGCAAUUCACACAUUUUUUUUUUUAUAAAUGAAAUAUUCUUUUGUGACGGCAAAAUAUCCGUCACCAC